ACAUUUAAGGACACGGUAAUAAUCUGGUCGCUAAAAUUAUACAUUCAGAGACUAAAAUUUUUCCUCGUCCCUAAUUUACAUUUUUUUGCAAAGACUUCUAAAUCUGGUUGCUAAAACAUACGCAUCUCGUCCCUAAUCAGUCACCAAUAAAUAAAAAAUAAAAAAUAAGCUAAUUAAAUCCCUCUCCCCCACCCGAACCCCUACCCCUACCCCCAUAACAAAAGAUAAAGAAAUGAAAUAUCUCGUUAUUUGUAGAAUCCCUAAAAAUUGACUCUUCAAAUUUCUUAUGGGGCACAAAUUUCUUGUCUUUAUCAGCAGCAAUUUCAUCCUCUCCGGCAGACAACACAUCCUCAAGUUUCGUUCGUUAUUUUUUCUUUAUCUUACUCUGUCUGAUCAUUUUAGAACUGCUUUCCAAUUAUUUCAUUGACAGACCAUGUGGUUAGGGUUAAAUUUCAUAUCUGUAUCAGAUGUCAUUUGAGUUUAAUUUUGUGCGUCCUAAUUUGUGUUUUGUCCAUUCCUUCGAUAUUAGGGAUUGCUCCCGUAUUGUGAUUGAUUAUUGGUUGUGGAUUUCUUAUAUAAUCUUAGAUUAGUCACUUAAACAAGCGUGUAAAACACAUAGAUUUCCAUUUCUAAGCAUCAUUACAUGGGCUUUCUUCGAGUGCAAUAUGGUGUAUAAAUCUAAUGAUUACCGUAGUAGACUUAUAGUACUUUAAUAGGUGUAUAACACUAGUCUACUAUUUAACUAUUUGUAGAUUGCUUGAAAUUUGGGGACCUUUGUUGGGGUCGGAAGUGGGAGCCAUGAGAUUCUCUACGUUUGGAUAAGACGUUUAGGUUGUUUUAGUUGCUUCUAUAGUUACUUUAUAUCUGAAUAGUAACUUGUCAUAGUUUUGCUUAUAAAUGUCUUUCAGUUAUGAUUUUGUUUUGUGUUUUAAACAUUUAAUUAAAGCACCUUAUGAUAUAUUGAAUACAUUUGCACUUAUUUGUAUGGUGUUGAUUUAUAUUCCCUGAAAGGCUCACCAUAAUUGAUUUAAUUAUAGUAAGUUAUGUGUAUUUGAAUGGUAAUCGAUAUUUUUGGUAGAAUUUCUUUUUCAAAAGGAGAUAAAAUUGAAAAAAUAACAAGGUAUAGAUAAUUGCUGAAUGUAUAAUAGAUAAUGAUUAGCCCUUUCCUCAAUGUCUAUGUUUCAGUUGUACCUUUUAACACAACUUUCCCAAGGUCAUCAGUUUUAGCUAUUAUUGGAUAUUUACCUGCUUGUCAUAACUUAUGAGAAAAAGAAUUAACUAAGAGUUGAUUAAACUAUUCUAAGCAAAAACAAGAGCUUCUGUUAAACCCUAUAUGUUGCAACUAGGUUAUACCUAUGAUCUUACAGAUGAAUUAUCUUUUCAUUUUUUCGUUAUAAUUGUAAAUUAAACAAAGAUCAUUAGUAUAGACAGUAAGAAUUGUUGAUGGGAAAAUAUAAAGUUUGGGAUUUAUUUUAUGCUAUACUUGCAUCUUAUUCUGUCUCAUUGUAUUCUACAAUAUUUCUAAACGUUUUGAGGCAAGCACCCACUACAGAGUGAGUUACUCUGGAACCUUUUACCUCACUAAACUUUACUUAUUUAUCGAGCUAAUUAUUGAGCAACUUGAAAUAACUAUAAAUUACUAUUUGGCCCAUUAAGAAAGAAAAACAAGAUAGGAUGGCAUAGGAGGAAAAUCGACAGCUCGAUGGAGAGCUUGCCCGGCCGCCACAGAGGACUUGGGGUACUUCGAAAUAUUUCAAAUUUUUUUUGAAGAUGCAACAUAAUUUAAUAAUCUCAAGUUAAUUAUUAUCAGGAAUCAACUAGAAAAUACAAGCAUAUAGAGGUAAAUACUACUUGAAAGUUGAGCAGAUGCAAUAUUCACAUGCAGCGAUUGGUGCAGACAUGGUUACUUAGUUAUCAAACUUUCAUGUGUGUCUUUGAUCAAACACCUACAAAGAAAACUAUUUCUCGAUCAGAUCAUCCAUGUGGUGCCUCUCAACAGCUCCACAAAUUAAUUGUAGCCCAUUCGUCUUGCUAGCUGUUUUUACGGGAAACAUUCAAGUCAAUAGGUUUUGAGGGAUCUGUUAUCUCAUUUGCCAAAAGCAAUUGCUAAGUAUAUUGUUUAUCAAGUGGAGUAUGGAGCUCAUUGCAUUCAGAUAUUUGAUUCAAGGGUUGGGCAACUCCUACCUCAUAUGUGGUACUGCUGGUCAAAGCCUUAUAUUGAUGAGGCUAGAGUGGAGGUCAACAGUGAAAGUCUACUAGAUUUCCAAUUUUGUUACGUUGAAGUAUCCCUGAAGGUCUAAGUUGUUCUGAUAUAUGAUAUAUACAUAAUUUUAUAUAUGUAUCAUAUAGGAAGAGUAACGUCACAUCUGAUAUAUGAUACAUAUAUAAAAUUAUGAGUCCUUAUAGUAUUUAGUGGAUUAGGCAUGGAAAUAAAAUGUAUAGAUUACGAUCACAAGUGUUGCAUAUCGUGAAUGACGUUUAGAUUAAAGGAGGAUUCUUUGGGUGCUUUAAUAGUUGGUGUGUGGAAAUGUCAUUCCUUUCUUAAUUAUUAUGUAAACUUUCUCUCGUUCUAUUUUCUUUUUGAACACCUCUCAUAUUUUAAAAUGCAGAUAGUUAGUAUAAUCAAAAGAAAGUGCCCACAAACACAUCUUGUCCUCUACAUUAAUGGAAAUAGUGGACUUUUUGAAAGGAUAAAAACAACUGGAGUUGAUGUAAUUCGACUUAACUAGAAAAUGGAUAUGGUAAAUGGAAGGAAGUGAUUGGGAACCGAUAUCGGUAUACAAGGGAAUAUGCAUCCCGCUACCUUAUUUUGUCCUCUUCCUACACUGAUAGAUGAAAUUAAAAGGUUUAUUGCACAACUAUACCUUAAAUAUGCCUGCUGUGAGUUGUUGUGAGGGGCAGAGUUAUUGGUAAUGAUUUAUACAGCUGGCUGUACUAUGGUUGUUGUGAUUACCUAUUGGUUUCAGAUCCAUAUGAAGAUGAAUUCUCACCUAGUUAUUACCAUAGAAAUGAUUUGGCUCUGGUUAUUGAGAUGAUGAUGUCAUCAGAAAAUGUUUAUGAAACUGUGUUAAAGUGCGAUUAUGAAGCUUUCGGAUACAAAUUAUAUGACUGCAGGUUCAAAAUGUGAUUUGGAUAGCCAACUGAAAACUAUGUCCUCAAAUUUUUUGAUAUUGAUUAUGUCACAUCAUGAAGAGAAGGUAAAUGAAAGAAAGCAAUCGAAAAAACUCUCAGCAUGUUCUGAUGAUGUCGGAUAUGGCAAAUCAAAGAUAGUUUACCCAUCAAUGAAAUAGGAAAUAUGUUGCCAGAAUCUGAAGGAUCAGCUGAAAUAUUUCAGGUUGUUGUAGACAAUUAAAAUUACAAGAGGGGUGGAACUUUUGAAGAUUCUAAUCUUACAGAAAAAAUUAUGGAGACUAGAAGACCUCUUAAGAAAAGUAAAGGCAAUGAAUCUAUGGACUUGGGGUCGUCAACAAUGAGCAAAAAAGGAAUCAUGUUGGAAUAGCAGAGUGUAGAAAGUUCUAUGAACUAUUGUAGCUAGGAAUGUUGAUUUGGAUUGCGUAGACAGUGCCAUAACUUUUAUGUAAUGACUACAUGGAAAUUGAGAUGUAAAUACAUAAUUAGUUUUUAAUAUAUACAGAAGUUAUCUUUA
This is a long non-coding RNA of Capsicum annuum, 3646 nucleotides long. RefSeq lists it as uncharacterized. The record is from RefSeq and is a predicted model, not a curated record. The transcript is spliced from 3 exons. NCBI's taxonomy places the organism in Eukaryota, Viridiplantae, Streptophyta, Magnoliopsida, Solanales, Solanaceae.